This 301-nucleotide ribosomal RNA is filed under the name uncultured bacterium. Its description in RNAcentral is "partial 16S ribosomal RNA". It matches the Rfam family "Bacterial small subunit ribosomal RNA", at positions 509 to 807 of the family's 1533-position model. The record is from RNAcentral.
CAGUAGCCGCGGGAAUACGUAGGGCGCAAGCGUUAUCCGGAAUUAUUGGGCGUAAAGAGCUCGUAGGCGGUUUGUCGCGUCUGCCGUGAAAGUCCGGGGCUCAACCCCGGAUCUGCGGUGGGUACGGGCAGACUAGAGUGAUGUAGGGGAGACUGGAAUUCCUGGUGUAGCGGUGAAAUGCGCAGAUAUCAGGAGGAACACCGAUGGCGAAGGCAGGUCUCUGGGCAUUAACUGACGCUGAGGAGCGAAAGCAUGGGGAGCAAACAGGAUUAGAUACCCCUGUAGUCCCUGUCUCUUAUAC